Molecule: small nucleolar RNA, 106 nt
Organism: Zingiber officinale
Lineage: Eukaryota; Viridiplantae; Streptophyta; Magnoliopsida; Zingiberales; Zingiberaceae
Source: RefSeq, a predicted model, not a curated record
AAACCAUGAUGAGGGCAAUGUCUUUGUAGACUCUUAAAUCUGUCCCAUGCUUCAAAUAAUGGUUCUCCAUCUGUCUGAAUAAAAUUUGUAAUGCAAUUCCUCAUAU